AUUGAACGCUGGCGGCAGGCCUAACACGUGCAAGUCGAGCGGAUGAAGGGAGCUUGCUCCUGGAUUCAGCGGCGGACGGGUGAGUAAUGCCUAGGAAUCUGCCUGGUAGUGGGGGAUAACGUCCGGAAACGGGCGCUAAUACCGCAUACGUCCUGAGGGAGAAAGUGGGGGAUCUUCGGACCUCACGCUAUCAGAUGAGCCUAGGUCGGAUUAGCUAGUUGGUGGGGUAAAGGCCUACCAAGGCGACGAUCCGUAACUGGUCUGAGAGGAUGAUCAGCCACACUGGAACUGAGACACGGUCCAGACUCCUACGGGAGGCAGCAGUGGGGAAUAUUGGACAAUGGGCGAAAGCCUGAUCCAGCCAUGCCGCGUGUGUGAAGAAGGUCUUCGGAUUGUAAAGCACUUUAAGUUGGGAGGAAGGGCAGUAAGUUAAUACCUUGCUGUUUUGACGUUACCAACAGAAUAAGCACCGGCUAACUUCGUG
RNAcentral lists this ribosomal RNA (484 nucleotides) under uncultured bacterium. Its description in RNAcentral is "partial 16S ribosomal RNA". It matches the Rfam family "Bacterial small subunit ribosomal RNA", at positions 30 to 507 of the family's 1533-position model. The record is from RNAcentral.